Molecule: ribosomal RNA, 30 nt
Filed under: Teratosphaeria epicoccoides
Lineage: Eukaryota; Fungi; Ascomycota; Dothideomycetes; Mycosphaerellales; Teratosphaeriaceae
Description: partial 28S ribosomal RNA
Source: RNAcentral
GUGGACCUCGGAUCAGGCAGGGUUACCCGC